UGUGAGUUACAGAUCCCGGUUUGUUCCAUUAAAGGACCAGUUUGUAAUAAUUAGGGUGAUCUAUUUGCAGAAAUGGAAUAUAUUAUUAAUAAGUAUGUUUUCUUUAGUGUAUAAUCACCUGAAAAUAAGAGUUGUUGUGUUUUCGUUGGCUUUGAAUGAGCCGUGUAUAUCCAUAUAGGGAGCGGGGCCUCUCCACGGAGUCCGCCAUGUUGAUCCGCCAUGUUUCUACAGUACCCCAGAACGGACAAA
Long non-coding RNA from Sebastes umbrosus (honeycomb rockfish), 249 nucleotides. RefSeq lists it as uncharacterized. Lineage: Eukaryota; Metazoa; Chordata; Actinopteri; Perciformes; Sebastidae. The record is from RefSeq and is a predicted model, not a curated record. The transcript has 4 exons.